GAUUUAGAGGGCAUGCAAUGGGAACCCCAUGGUUGGUGAUUGGUAAUAUUCCAAAGCUGCUGUCUCUCCCCCUUGGGCUUCAACAUCUCUUUUUCAAUUGAAAACACUAGGAAUUCAUGAAUGCCAUGGAUUGAGGUCACUCUUUCCUGUGUUCCAACAUCUCAUUUUCCUUGAACAGUUUUCAAUAAGUAGCUGAAGUUAUCUGUACCUAAGUUCCAAAUAUUCGAAGAUCAUACAAGCCUGUGCUCUCUAGCGCUAGCAAAGAUUCCAAAUAGUCGCCAUCUUCCGGAGUGGCUUCAACAUCAAACAAAUCUGCCAAGGCUUAUUCUCUCUGAUUUAACAUCGCUUCCGGACGAGAACCAGUUUGGAAAAGUUCUUUAUGAAACGACUUCCCCAGUUGGAGGAAAGAUGUCGGAAGGACAUUGGUGCCGAUUGGCAUAAGAUUGCUCAUAUCGCUACAGUAACCAUCGAAGACUUUUAGUGAAACGAAUUUGGCAAAUUCAUGAAUCUAAAUGCAGGAAAAAAAAGUGCUUAUUCCCAAUACCAGCAAGGAAUGACAGCAUGAGUUCAAUGGAAGAGCCAAAAAGCAGGACAUGCAUUCUUCAUCAGCUGAUCUGUCCAUGGCAUUGUGCUCCCAUGAAAUCCUCCUCUCUAUGCACAUUUGCUCUUUCUUUUUCCUUUUUUCUUUGUUAAAGAGUCACUCUGUAUGCUAUCUUCAUCAGCUGAUCUUGGAGCUUGUAUAUAUAGAUGCUUUGUGGACUUAAAGCAA
Long non-coding RNA from Gossypium arboreum, 769 nucleotides. RefSeq lists it as uncharacterized. Lineage: Eukaryota; Viridiplantae; Streptophyta; Magnoliopsida; Malvales; Malvaceae. The record is from RefSeq and is a predicted model, not a curated record. The transcript is spliced from 4 exons.